This 671-nucleotide ribosomal RNA is filed under the name Streptomyces sp. 377(2010). Its description in RNAcentral is "bacterial SSU rRNA". It matches the Rfam family "Bacterial small subunit ribosomal RNA", at positions 87 to 770 of the family's 1533-position model. Lineage: Bacteria; Bacillati; Actinomycetota; Actinomycetes; Kitasatosporales; Streptomycetaceae. The record is from RNAcentral.
GGGGAUUAGUGGCGAACGGGUUGAGUAAUACGUGGGCAAUCUGCCCUGCACUCUGGGACAAGCCCUGGAAACGGGGUCUAAUACCGGAUACUCACUGCCUUGGGCAUCCUUGGUGGUGGAAAGCUCCGGCGGUGCAGGAUGAGCCCGCGGCCUAUCAGCUAGUUGGUGAGGUAAUGGCUCACCAAGGCGACGACGGGUAGCCGGCCUGAGAGGGCGACCGGCCACACUGGGACUGAGACACGGCCCAGACUCCUACGGGAGGCAGCAGUGGGGAAUAUUGCACAAUGGGCGAAAGCCUGAUGCAGCGACGCCGCGUGAGGGAUGACGGCCUUCGGGUUGUAAACCUCUUUCAGCAGGGAAGAAGCGAGAGUGACGGUACCUGCAGAAGAAGCGCCGGCUAACUACGUGCCAGCAGCCGCGGUAAUACGUAGGGCGCAAGCGUUGUCCGGAAUUAUUGGGCGUAAAGAGCUCGUAGGCGGCUUGUCACGUCGGUUGUGAAAGCCCGGGGCUUAACCCCGGGUCUGCAGUCGAUACGGGCAGGCUAGAGUUCGGUAGGGGAGAUCGGAAUUCCUGGUGUAGCGGUGAAAUGCGCAGAUAUCAGGAGGAACACCGGUGGCGAAGGCGGAUCUCUGGGCCGAUACUGACGCUGAGGAGCGAAAGCGUGGGGAGCG